This 564-nucleotide long non-coding RNA is filed under the name Mytilus galloprovincialis (Mediterranean mussel). Lineage: Eukaryota; Metazoa; Mollusca; Bivalvia; Mytilida; Mytilidae. The record is from RNAcentral.
GGUUUCUAUUUAUUUCUUUUAAAAUUUCUAGUAUGAUGAAGCUUUCUGACAAGUUUCACGCAAUCCCAUUUUAAGUUUUAAAACUGUAUCCGUACGCGUUAUCUUAUUCUUAUUUUUAGUGGGUUCCAUAUACCAAAUAUAGUUGACAUGUUACUUAAAGUGACGAAGAAACGGACCUAACAAUGAAAAGUUUAAGAUGCCAAAUGAACCCUGAAAAGGUGGUUAAUAUCAGAUGACCGCCUCUAAUGCAGGAUGUCGUGGGUUUUAUCUCAGUCCAGGUCAAACCAAACACUUCAAAAUUGGUAUUUGGGAGUAAGAACAAGAAUGGUCAGCUUGGAAUCGUAAUAAUGUGUCCGGUAGGAUAUGUGUUCCUGAGGACUUUACCGUGUGAACAAGAAAGUCAAAAAUUCAGCUGAAUACAAAGCAAUGUCUACAUUCAUAUCACGUUUUUAAAAUAUGUUUUCGUCCUGAAUAUGCAUUUAAUUUGACACUGAUAUAACCAUCCGUCAAUUAAUCCACCUUACCUUCAGAGGAAAAUAUAGUUUAGCUAGAUAAGACAUUUUU